This is a long non-coding RNA of Ornithodoros turicata, 495 nucleotides long. RefSeq lists it as uncharacterized. Lineage: Eukaryota; Metazoa; Arthropoda; Arachnida; Ixodida; Argasidae. The record is from RefSeq and is a predicted model, not a curated record. The transcript is spliced from 3 exons.
CUUGGGCUGGAAAAUGCAAUAAAAGUGCAGGCGACCAUCGUUUUGUGACCGUCGUUAUACCAGCUGUCUACAAGUAACGCUGUCGUCCGCUUGCAUCAUCAUGAAGGUGUUCUGUGCUAUCGCUCUCUGCGUCCUAUUUUGCCUGGCUCUCUGCGAAGCAAACAAGAAAACCACGAAGAGCGAUAAACCCACGGACCUGAAAAACGACGAGUCCUUCGGAGGACGCAUUCUAGGAGGCGGCAUCGACGUCGGACAGGACGGUGGCUAUGCAGGCAUCGGUCACCCAGUCGGAGCCGGUAGAGAUUUCGGCCACGAGACAGAUGGAGUGAAAGAACACCACAAAACCACCUAAGCGCCUAAGGGCUUCUACUUGGGGACAACGGGAAUGACAGUAUAAACAGAGUACCUGCUGGAAAGGAGUUUCGUUUAUUGAAGAACACCUUCAUGUAGUCAAUAUGUCAAUAAAAUGUAGGACUUCUUAUGUUGCUAUGCAAA